This 450-nucleotide ribosomal RNA is filed under the name uncultured bacterium. Its description in RNAcentral is "partial 16S ribosomal RNA". It matches the Rfam family "Bacterial small subunit ribosomal RNA", at positions 354 to 796 of the family's 1533-position model. The record is from RNAcentral.
GUGGGGAAUUUUGGACAAUGGGCGCAAGCCUGAUCCAGCAAUGCCGCGUGUGUGAAGAAGGCCUUCGGGUUGUAAAGCACUUUUGUCCGGAAAGAAAUGGCCUGGGUUAAUACCCCGGGUCGAUGACGGUACCGGAAGAAUAAGCACCGGCUAACUACGUGCCAGCAGCCGCGGUAAUACGUAGGGUGCGAGCGUUAAUCGGAAUUACUGGGCGUAAAGCGUGCGCAGGCGGCGAUGCAAGACAGAUGUGAAAUCCCCGGGCUCAACCUGGGAACUGCAUUUGUGACUGCAUGGCUAGAGUGCGUCAGAGGGGGGUGGAAUUCCGCGUGUAGCAGUGAAAUGCGUAGAGAUGCGGAGGAACACCGAUGGCGAAGGCAGCCCCCUGGGCCUGCACUGACGCUCAUGCACGAAAGCGUGGGGAGCAAACAGGAUUAGAAACCCGUGUAGUCC